CGGAUCGGCGAGGCACUCUUUCCGUCGGGAAGAGGGCCCUCCUUUACCCUCCAUAGCGGAACUCAGCUCUCCGCACCCGAAGGUGACCACGGAGGCACAGAUCGCGACGAUCGUGUGGCAAAUGACCGUUCUGACAAACGCGGUCAAAAAUCUCCAACAACAACCAACUCAGUUGCCGCAACUGCCGGCGGAAUGACCGACGGUGCACCCUAUGCCGUCCAGAAGCAGCUGCCGAUGCCCGCAUCAAC
RNAcentral lists this long non-coding RNA (248 nucleotides) under Elaeis guineensis (African oil palm). Its description in RNAcentral is "long non-coding RNA (EGUI_LNC025371)". Lineage: Eukaryota; Viridiplantae; Streptophyta; Magnoliopsida; Arecales; Arecaceae. The record is from RNAcentral.